GCAGGGUGCUGGGCUCCUGUGGUCCCAGAGACUUGGGAGGCUGAGGCAGGAGGAUCACUUGAGCCAGGGAGUUCAAGGCCAGCCUGGGCAACAUAGUGAGACCCUUUCUCAA
RNAcentral lists this small RNA (112 nucleotides) under Marmota monax (woodchuck). The record is from RNAcentral. Lineage: Eukaryota; Metazoa; Chordata; Mammalia; Rodentia; Sciuridae.